Molecule: unclassified non-coding RNA, 25 nt
Filed under: Mus musculus (house mouse)
Lineage: Eukaryota; Metazoa; Chordata; Mammalia; Rodentia; Muridae
Description: oocyte_clustered_small_RNA83
Source: RNAcentral
UUGAAGAUCAGCCUUAGCACAUGGU